UAGCUAGUUGGUGAGGUAAAGGCUUACCAAGGCGACGAUCUGUAGCGGGUCUGAGAGGAUGAUCCGCCACACUGGAACUGAGACACGGUCCAGACUCUUACGGGAGGCAGCAGUGGGGAAUUUUGGACAAUGGGGGCAACCCUGAUCCAGCCAUGCCGCGUGAGUGAAGGAGGCCCUCGGGUUGUAAAGCUCUUUCGGCCGGGAAGAAAUCGCAUGGGCCAAUACCCUGUGUGGAUGACGGUACCGGAAUAAGAAGCACCGGCUAACUACGUGCCAGCAGCCGCGGUAAUACGUAGGGUGCGAGCGUUAAUCGGAAUUACUGGGCGUAAAGCGUGCGCAGGCGGUUUUGUAAGACAGGCGUGAAAUCCCCGGGCUUAACCUGGGAACUGCGUUUGUGACUGCAAGGCUAGAGUACGGCAGAGGGGGGUGGAAUUCCACGUGUAGCAGUGAAAUGCGUAGAGAUGUGGAGGAACACCAAUGGCGAAGGCAGCCCCCUGGGUCGAUACUGACGCUCAUGCACGAAAGCGUGGGUAGCAAACAGGAUUAGAUACCCUGGUAGUCCACGCCCUAAACUAUGUCAACUAGGUGUUGGGUGGGUAAAACCAUUUAGUACCGUAGCUAACGCGUGAAGUUGACCGCCUGGGGAGUACGGCCGCAAGGUUAAAACUCAAAGGAAUUGACGGGGACCCGCACAAGCGGUGGAUGAUGUGGAUUAAUUCGAUGCAACGCGAAAAACCUUACCUACCCUUGACAUGCCAGGAACUUGCCAGAGAUGGCUUGGUGCCCGAAAGGGAGCCUGGACACAGGUGCUGCAUGGCUGUCGUCAGCUCGUGUCGUGAGAUGUUGGGUUAAGUCCCGCAACGAGCGCAACCCUUGUCGUUAAUUGCCAUCAUUUAGUUGGGCACUUUAACGAGACUGCCGGUGACAAACCGGAGGAAGGUGGGGAUGACGUCAAGUCCUCAUGGCCCUUAUGGGUAGGGCUUCACACGUCAUACAAUGGUCGGUACAAAGGGUUGCCAAGCCGCGAGGCGGAGCCAAUCCCAGAAAGCCGAUCGUAGUCCGGAUUGCAGGCUGCAACUCGCCUGCAUGAAGUCGGAAUCGCUAGUAAUCGUGGAUCAGCAUGUCACGGUGAAUACGUUCCCGGGUCUUGUACACACCGCCCGUCACACCAUGGGAGCGGGUUCCGCCAGAAGUAGGUAGCCUAACCGCAAGGGGGGCGCUUACCACGGCGGGGUUCGUGACUGGGGUGAAGUCGUAACAAGGUAGCCGUAGGGGAACCUGCGGCUG
Molecule: ribosomal RNA, 1287 nt
Filed under: metagenome
Description: bacterial SSU rRNA
Rfam family: Bacterial small subunit ribosomal RNA
Source: RNAcentral